This 406-nucleotide ribosomal RNA is filed under the name uncultured prokaryote. RNAcentral describes it as "bacterial SSU rRNA". It matches the Rfam family "Bacterial small subunit ribosomal RNA", at positions 355 to 776 of the family's 1533-position model. RNAcentral also lists the same sequence under 1 other name. The record is from RNAcentral.
UGGGGAAUAUUGGGCAAUGGGCGAAAGCCUGACCCAGCAACGCCGCGUGAGGGAAGAAGGUUUUCGGAUUGUAAACCUCUGUUGCAGGGGACGAGCAAAAGACGGUACCCUGUGAGGAAGCCCCGGCUAACUACGUGCCAGCAGCCGCGGUAAUACGUAGGGGGCGAGCGUUGUCCGGAAUUACUGGGCGUAAAGGGAGCGUAGGCGGUUAUUUAAGUUGGAUGUGAAAAGCCCGGGCUUAACCCGGGAGGUGCAUUCAAAACUGGAUGACUUGAGUACAGGAGAGGAAAGCGGAAUUCCUAGUGUAGCGGUGAAAUGCGUAGAUAUUAGGAGGAACACCAGUGGCGAAGGCGGCUUUCUGGACUGACACUGACGCUGAUGCUCGAAAGCGUGGGGAGCAAACAGG